Molecule: ribosomal RNA, 836 nt
Filed under: Coelogyne convallariiformis
Lineage: Eukaryota; Viridiplantae; Streptophyta; Magnoliopsida; Asparagales; Orchidaceae
Description: eukaryotic LSU rRNA
Rfam family: 5.8S ribosomal RNA (bases 352-507)
Source: RNAcentral
GCGACGCGGGCGGUUCGCCGCCCGUGACUCUGCGAGAAGUCCAUUGAACCUUAUCAUUUAGAGGAAGGAGAAGUCGUAACAAGGUUUCCGUAGGUGAACCUGCGGAAGGAUCAUUGUCGAGACCGAAAUGUAUUGAGCGAUUCAGAAAACCCGUGAAAUGAGUGGCGACAGUUCCUGUCGUAGAACAACCAUCCCAGUCGUUAUCUCGUCUCUUUUGGGAGGAGGCCAUGAUGAAGGAUGGACGAAAUUUCAAAUCGGCGCAGCUUCGCGCCAAGGAAAUGCUGAAACACGAGCUCAGUAAUGGGUUCGGUGGCAUGGAGUGCUGUGUUGGCACACCGUGUGGAUUAAAAUGACUCUCGGCAAUGGAUAUCUCGGCUCUCGCAUCGAUGAAGAGCGCAGCGAAAUGCGAUACGUGGUGCGAAUUGCAGAAUCCCGCGAACCAUCGAGUCUUUGAACGCAAGUUGCGCCCGAGGCCAGCCGGCCAAGGGCACGUCUGCCUGGGCGUCAAGCGUUGCGUCGCUCCGUGCCAACUUCAUCCCACAAAUGUGUGUGUCGGUUGAGGCCCGGAUGCGCAGAGUGGCUCGUCGUACCCAUCAGUGCGGCGGGUUGAAGAGUGGGGUUAUCGUCUCGUUGGCCAACAACAACAAGGGGUGGAUGAAAGCUGUGAGCAGAAAGCCUAUGUUGUUUCUUGCUUGGCUUGAGAGAAGAGUACGUAUCCCAGGUGAUCCUGACCCAUGCGUCGAUACACAGGCGACGGCUUGGAUUGCGACCCCAGGAUGGGCGAGGCCACCCGCCGAGUUUAAGCAUAUCAAUAACCGGAGGAGAAGCAAACUUAC